CAUCGGCUCCUUGUUGUUUCACCAAAGUCAUGAAGCCAGUGGUAUCGUUCCUCCGGACCCGAGGUGUUCGUCUGAUUAUAUAUUUAGACGACAUCUUACUCAUGGCCCAAUCAAGGGAUCAACUAAGCUUACAUGUCGGCUGGACAACUACAUUACUUCAGAACCUGGGCUUCCUGAUCAAUUGGGAAAAGUCAGUACUGAUCCCC
Non-coding RNA from Pelobates cultripes (western spadefoot toad), 206 nucleotides. The record is from the annotation of a GenBank genome assembly. Lineage: Eukaryota; Metazoa; Chordata; Amphibia; Anura; Pelobatidae.